GACGAACGCUGGCGGCGUGGAUUAGGCAUGCAAGUCGAACGGUAUCAUCCUUUCGGGGGUGAGAGAGUGGCGAACUGGUGAGUAACACGUAGGUUAUCUACCCUCAAGACGGGGACAACCCAGGGAAACUUGGGCUAAUACCGGAUGUGAGCAACUUUUAGUUGUUUGAAAGGUGGCGUAAGCUGUCGCUUGGGGAUGAGCCUGCGUCCUAUUAGUUAGUUGGUGAGGUAACGGCUCACCUAGGCAAUGAUAGGUAGGCGGCCUUAACGGGUGGUCGCCCACACUGGGAUUGAGAUACGGCCCAGACUCCUACGGGAGGCAGCAGUCGAGAAUAGUCUACAAUGGUCGGAAGACUGAUAGUGCGACGCCGCGUGAACGAUGAAUCCCUUCGGGGUGUAAAGUUCUUUUAUAUGUGAGCAGUGCUUCUUAUAUUAACAGUAUGGGGAGAGGAGAUAUUAGCAUAUGAAUAAGCAACGGCUAACUCCGUGCCAGCAGCCGCGGUAAU
This 505-nucleotide ribosomal RNA is filed under the name uncultured bacterium. Its description in RNAcentral is "bacterial SSU rRNA". It matches the Rfam family "Bacterial small subunit ribosomal RNA", at positions 28 to 524 of the family's 1533-position model. The record is from RNAcentral.